Molecule: ribosomal RNA, 468 nt
Filed under: uncultured bacterium
Lineage: Bacteria
Description: partial 16S ribosomal RNA
Rfam family: Bacterial small subunit ribosomal RNA
Source: RNAcentral
GACGAACGCUGGCGGCGUGCUUAACACAUGCAAGUCGAACGGAAAGGCCCUGCUUUUGGGGGGUGCUCGAGUGGCGAACGGGUGAGUAACACGUGAGUAACCUGCCCUUGACUUUGGGAUAACUUCAGGAAACUGGGGCUAAUACCGGAUAGGAGCUCCUGCUGCAUGGUGGGGGUGGGAAAGUUUCGGCGGUUGGGGAUGGACUCGCGGCUUAUCAGCUUGUUUGUGGGGUAGUGGCUUACCAAGGCUUUGACGGGUCGCCGGCCUGAGAGGGUGACCGGCCACAUUGGGACUGAGAUACGGCCCAGACUCCUACGGGAGGCAGCAGUGGGGAAUAUUGCACAAUGGGCGGAAGCCUGAUGCAGCAACGCCGCGUGCGGGAUGACGGCCUUCGGGUUGUAAACCGCUUUCGCCUGUGACGAAGCGUGAGUGACGGUAAUGGGUAAAGAAGCACCGGCUAACUACGUG